RNAcentral lists this ribosomal RNA (119 nucleotides) under Triticum aestivum (bread wheat). Lineage: Eukaryota; Viridiplantae; Streptophyta; Magnoliopsida; Poales; Poaceae. The record is from RNAcentral.
GGAUGCGAUCAUACCAGCACUAAAGCACCGGAUCCCAUCAGCACUCCGAAGUUAAGCGUGCUUGGGCGAGAGUAGUACUAGGAUGGGUGACCUCCUGGGAAGUCCUCGUGUUGCAUUCC